RNAcentral lists this ribosomal RNA (484 nucleotides) under uncultured bacterium. RNAcentral's name for it is "partial 16S ribosomal RNA". It matches the Rfam family "Bacterial small subunit ribosomal RNA", at positions 30 to 507 of the family's 1533-position model. The record is from RNAcentral.
AUUGAACGCUGGCGGCAGGCCUAACACAUGCAAGUCGAGCGGAUGAAGGGAGCUUGCUCCCGGAUUCAGCGGCGGACGGGUGAGUAAUGCCUAGGAAUCUGCCUGGUAGUGGGGGAUAACGUCCGGAAACGGGCGCUAAUACCGCAUACGUCCUGAGGGAGAAAGUGGGGGAUCUUCGGACCUCACGCUAUCAGAUGAGCCUAGGUCGGAUUAGCUAGUUGGUGGGGUAAAGGCCUACCAAGGCGACGAUCCGUAACUGGUCUGAGAGGAUGAUCAGUCACACUGGAACUGAGACACGGUCCAGACUCCUACGGGAGGCAGCAGUGGGGAAUAUUGGACAAUGGGCGAAAGCCUGAUCCAGCCAUGCCGCGUGUGUGAAGAAGGUCUUCGGAUAGUAAAGCACUUUAAGUUGGGAGGAAGGGCAGUAAGUUAAUACCUUGCUGUUUUGACGUUACCAACAGAAUAAGCACCGGCUAACUUCGUG